RNAcentral lists this ribosomal RNA (253 nucleotides) under uncultured bacterium. RNAcentral's name for it is "partial 16S ribosomal RNA". It matches the Rfam family "Bacterial small subunit ribosomal RNA", at positions 524 to 776 of the family's 1533-position model. The record is from RNAcentral.
UACGUAGGGGCCUAGCGUUGUCCGGAUUUAUUGGGCGUAAAGAGCUCGUAGGCGGCACGGUCAGUCAGAUGUGAAAUCUCCACGCUCAACGUGGAGAGGUCAUUUGAUACUGCCGAGCUUGAGUCCGGUAGGGGAGUGUGGAAUUCCCGGUGUAGCGGUGAAAUGCGCAGAUAUCGGGAGGAACACCCGUAGCGAAGGCGGCAUCCUGGACCGAUACUGACGCUGAGGAGCGAAAGCCAGGGGAGCAAACGGG